RNAcentral lists this ribosomal RNA (301 nucleotides) under uncultured bacterium. RNAcentral describes it as "partial 16S ribosomal RNA". It matches the Rfam family "Bacterial small subunit ribosomal RNA", at positions 509 to 807 of the family's 1533-position model. The record is from RNAcentral.
CAGUAGCCGCGGGAAUACAGAGGGUGCGAGCGUUAAUCGGAUUUACUGGGCGUAAAGCGUGCGUAGGCGGCUUUUUAAGUCGGAUGUGAAAUCCCUGAGCUUAACUUAGGAAUUGCAUUCGAUACUGGGAAGCUAGAGUAUGGGAGAGGAUGGUAGAAUUCCAGGUGUAGCGGUGAAAUGCGUAGAGAUCUGGAGGAAUACCGAUGGCGAAGUCAGCCAUCUGGCCUAAUACUGACGCUGAGGUACGAAAGCAUGGGGAGCAAACAGGAUUAGAGACCCCGGUAGUCCCUGUCUCUUAUAC